This 892-nucleotide unclassified non-coding RNA is filed under the name Hevea brasiliensis (rubber tree). The record is from RNAcentral. Lineage: Eukaryota; Viridiplantae; Streptophyta; Magnoliopsida; Malpighiales; Euphorbiaceae.
UCUGGGAUCUGGAAGACAGACAGGAUUUUUGAAGAAUGCUCUUCAUUUAUAUUUUUCCAACAAAAUGACAACUAGAACAAUCAAUCCAAAAUCCUGUCUGUCUUCCAGAUCCCAGAGGAAGUACCAAAAAACAGUAUAAAAGUUAGCAGCCAAAUUCCCGAGGGAAAGAAGAAAGGAAUUCCAAUCUGUUGUGUUAGAUGACAAAAUGAUCUUUAUGAGAAUGGAGGAUAACGAGAAAAUUAGCCAAGAAACCCCAGAUUCUAAAAUUAAUGAGGCUUUAAGCAGGACAAAAGAAUGUCUCCCCCUACUCACAAAAAGGAGACAAUCAGACAACAAAAACCUUUACAUUUACAAGCAUCUGGUAGUUGGAAGUUAACGGAACAAAAAAAUAAUGACUGACCUUGUUGGAUUGAUUUUUAUGUUGGAAGACUGGCUUAUCAAACUUUUUAUGAUUUUAGCAGAUGGUUAAAAUUAUGACAAUCAGCUCCAACUUCACUCAAUGCCAUGUACAGCUUUGGCACAAUCUUAGCUAACAUUAGCUUGAAACCAACUGAAGUUAAAUUGGAAUUGUCAUUGUUGCUUAUAGAGGCAUCUUUGGUAAGAGAACCUAUUAAACUGCCUUUCAUGUAUGCAUCACAGGCCUUGAGAAUGUAGUAACCACGUUUCUUGAAAUGCUCUUUGACCAGGCCCUCAAAAUCCUUGGGGGGCUUUCGCAUAAGAUGCAUCAUUGUUUUGCAACUUAGUAAAAAUGUGUUUUCAUUAUACGACAGUGAAUUCUUCUCUCCUUCGGCUGUCCCAAUUUGUUUAUCAUAUCCAGCUUCAUUAAAAUAUGGCUUAGAAUUUAGCACUAAACCCUGAAGUGAAACUAGAACUUGAAGGAUGCUAGAAGAAU